Molecule: transfer RNA, 85 nt
Filed under: Oceanibacterium hippocampi
Lineage: Bacteria; Pseudomonadati; Pseudomonadota; Alphaproteobacteria; Sneathiellales; Sneathiellaceae
Description: Sneathiella sp. BFLP-8 tRNA
Rfam family: tRNA
About the family: Transfer RNA (tRNA) molecules are approximately 80 nucleotides in length. Their secondary structure includes four short double-helical elements and three loops (D, anti-codon, and T loops). Further hydrogen bonds mediate the characteristic L-shaped molecular structure. tRNAs have two regions of fundamental functional importance: the anti-codon, which is responsible for specific mRNA codon recognition, and the 3' end, to which the tRNAs corresponding amino acid is attached (by aminoacyl-tRNA synthetases). tRNAs cope with the degeneracy of the genetic code in two manners: having more than one tRNA (with a specific anti-codon) for a particular amino acid; and 'wobble' base-pairing, i.e. permitting non-standard base-pairing at the 3rd anti-codon position.
Source: Rfam by way of RNAcentral
GGAGGGGUGGCCGAGUGGUCGAUGGCGCACGCUUGGAAAGCGUGUAUACCGAAAGGUAUCGUGGGUUCGAAUCCCACUCCCUCCG